RNAcentral lists this ribosomal RNA (301 nucleotides) under uncultured bacterium. Its description in RNAcentral is "partial 16S ribosomal RNA". It matches the Rfam family "Bacterial small subunit ribosomal RNA", at positions 509 to 807 of the family's 1533-position model. The record is from RNAcentral.
CAGUCGCCGCGGUAAUACGUAGGGUGCAGGCGUUAAUCGGAAUUACUGGGCGUAAAGAGUGUGUAGGCGGUGCCAUAAGUUCGGUGUGAAAUCUCCCGGCUCAACUGGGAGGGUGCGCCGAAAACUGUAGCGCUCGAACGUGGGAGAGGAAAGCGGAAUUCCUGGUGUAGCGGUGAAAUGCGUAGAUAUCAGGAGGAACACCUGCGGUGUAGACGGCUUUCUGGACCAUUGUUGACGCUGAGACACGAAAGCGUGGGUAGCAAACAGGAUUAGAUACCCCCGUAGUCCCUGUCUCUUAUAC